AUGGCAGAGCCCAUGCAUAAACCAUUUGGUUUUGCAAUUAAAAACAGGUUUGGCUUCCCUCUGCAUCAGUAAGACAACGUCAAAGCAACAUUCGUCCUGAAAAUUUUCCCUUGUGAAUUCAAAUGAACUGGGGCUAGAGCGAUGACUCAGCGAUGAAGAGUACUUGCUGCUCUUGAAGACCCAACUUCAAAUCCCAGGUUCAUCAUGUAAAACCCAUGUCAUGUGGAAUUCUAAACCCUAUCAAGAUGAGGAGCCUGACACACAAAAAAAGGAUGUAUUGACUCGAGAUCAGGAAGAUAAGAAUUGAAAAAAAUUUCAUUGGCCAUUCAAAGACAGACACACAAGAAGCAGGAGAAAGAAGACAGAGAAAACCAAGGGAUAGGUAAGUAGUAGGUUUUGAAUGAUAAACCAGAAAGUUUCAUUACUCUAUCAAAAUCAUAAGUGAUCCCAUUAUUGUGACCAAUUAGUUACUAUUCUAGAAUAGUCACAUCAAAUCCUCACCCCGCUUAAAUGGGAUCCAGAUCCAGAAUAUUCUAGGCAAUCUCGGCGCUCUAAAAGGAAAACCACUGAUACCAGCACCCAUCACAACCCAGCAUCUCUUCAUACUACACUCUGUCAUCAUUGACUGGAAUUGGCCUCUGGCAUGCUAAUCAAGCACAGGUAGAUUUUGCUGUGUUUCUAUUUACCAUUGUCUGUUUCCCCCACUCCACAUGUAUACUCAUCAUAUACUGAAGUACAAAUCCUUGUCAGUGGAGCUGACAGAAUCUGGAUGCAGAACAAGUUUCUUAAUGUCACUUCAUAGAAGCAGAUGCUCAUCCCACUCACUCCUAAAACACCCAUUGGCUUCAAUAUCAUCUUUCCGCCCAUGGCAAGCCUUGCGAGCCUUCAUGUCUUGCCUCAGUUCUCAAGUCCACAGGGUUUUCCCACACCCACUCAAGCAGUUUCACCAACCAAGGGAGCCCAAGACCAAUGACAGUAAAGACAGAACCAGCUGUACUUGAGAGGAUGGGUGUGUGGACUAGCUGUCAGUGCUUGUUGACCUAAGGCAAGAGAUGCCAAGAAAACCAGUCCAGUUCUGAUAAGGGAAGAGGCAAUGUAGAUCAAGAAGAGACUCACCUUCUCUAGCUGAACUAAUCCAUGAUGGAGCUACAAGAUGUUAACAAGAGUGAUUAGUACCUAUCACAUAAAAAGUUAGCAUGAUAAGGAUGGUGAUAGCACUAGCCACAUGCCAGGCAUUAUUCUUAAUAGAUUAGCAUCUUUACUACAGUCCUUGGAGAUUGGUACCAUUAUCACCAUUGUUCAGAUGUGGAAACUGAGGUACAUAAAGGUUAAAUAGCCUUUCCCAAGUGGAUAUAAAAGUGAGGAAGAUAAAAUGC
Molecule: long non-coding RNA, 1376 nt
Organism: Peromyscus leucopus (white-footed mouse)
Lineage: Eukaryota; Metazoa; Chordata; Mammalia; Rodentia; Cricetidae
Exons: 5
Source: RefSeq, a predicted model, not a curated record